GGCCCUACGGGGCGCAGCAGGCGCGAAAACUUCACACUGCGGGAAACCGCGAUGAGGGGAUUCCAAGUGCGUGCGUUCAGCGUACGCUUUUCUCAGGUCUAGAUCUCAUGAGGAAUAAGGGCUGGGUAAGACCGGUGCCAGCCGCCGCGGUAACACCGGCAGCCCGAGUGGUGGUCGCUUUUAUUGGGCCUAAAGCGUCCGUAGCCGGCUCGGAAAGUCUUUGGGUAAAUCAUCCGGCUUAACCGAAUGAAUUCCAGAGAUACUACCGGGCUUGGGACCGGGAGAGGCUAGAGGUACUCAUGGGGUAGGGGUAAAAUCCAGUAAUCCUGUGGGGACCACCAGUGGCGAAGGCGUCUAGCUAGAACGGCUCCGACGGUAAGGGACGAAGCCCAGGGGCACAAACCGGAUCAGAUACCCGGGUAGUCCUGGGUGUAAACGCUGCGGACUUGGUGUUGGAGGUCCUGCUAGGGCGUUCAGUGCCGUAGAGAAGUUGUUAAGUCCGCCGCCUGGGGAGUACGGUCGCAAGGCUGAAACUUAAAGGAAUUGGCGGGGGAGCAC
This 558-nucleotide ribosomal RNA is filed under the name uncultured Poseidoniia archaeon. Its description in RNAcentral is "bacterial SSU rRNA". It matches the Rfam family "Archaeal small subunit ribosomal RNA", at positions 319 to 879 of the family's 1478-position model. The record is from RNAcentral. Lineage: Archaea; Methanobacteriati; Thermoplasmatota; Candidatus Poseidoniia.